RNAcentral lists this ribosomal RNA (497 nucleotides) under uncultured bacterium. Its description in RNAcentral is "partial 16S ribosomal RNA". It matches the Rfam family "Bacterial small subunit ribosomal RNA", at positions 28 to 507 of the family's 1533-position model. The record is from RNAcentral.
GAUGAACGCUGGCGGCGUGCCUAAUACAUGCAAGUCGAGCGAACAGAUAAGGAGCUUGCUCCUUUGACGUUAGCGGCGGACGGGUGAGUAACACGUGGGUAACCUACCUAUAAGACUGGAAUAACUCCGGGAAACCGGGGCUAAUGCCGGAUAACAUUUAGAACCGCAUGGUUCUAAAGUGAAAGAUGGUUUUACUAUCACUUAUGGAUGGACCCGCGCCGUAUUAGCUAGUUGGUAAGGUAACGGCUUACCAAGGCAACGAUACGUAGCCGACCUGAGAGGGUGAUCGGCCACACUGGAACUGAGACACGGUCCAGACUCCUACGGGAGGCAGCAGUAGGGAAUCUUCCGCAAUGGGCGAAAGCCUGACGGAGCAACGCCGCGUGAGUGAUGAAGGUCUUCGGAUCGUAAAACUCUGUUAUUAGGGAAGAACAAAUGUGUAAGUAACUGUGCACGUCUUGACGGUACCUAAUCAGAAAGCCACGGCUAACUACGUG